ACUUGGAGGGUCUUCAGUAUCAACUGAUCUCAUGCUUUCAUCAUAUACAUGAGGAUGCCGGGGUCCCCAGGCCAUGCAGGGAGGUACCAGCCUGGCCCACCCCUGAGCUUCUAGCUGCCUUCCCCUUCCAUUGACUUGCCCCGGAGCCUGCUCCCAAGCCCUUGGGAGACGUCAGGUGCUCAUCUCCCCAGACAAACACUCACAGGCAACAGUCACGCCCCACCCUGGCUGCACGCUGCAUGGAGGGUCUCGUUUUUGACAUCCCACUCUUGUCCCAUUAAGAACGGUGGGAAAAUUGGGCUGGGAGCAGGGCUACCGGGCCAGCAGGUAAAAGUACCACUCACCUCUCUCGGAGAGGACUGCUGGGAAGAGCAUGGACGCUGGAAAUGAAGCAGUUUAAGCUCUUUGGAAAGUUCCUAGUGCCUUAGGAUUCCAGGAAGUGCCAAAGCACAGAGUCGCAGAAGAGGAAAAGAUUUCUGAGAAAAGGAUGACAUGAAUACACAGGGGCCGGCGAAAGUUGGUUUACAGUUGUGAGAACACGAGCAGUUUAUUGCUGUAUUAUUAUUUAUCACGCUCAGAGGUCGGCCCACUGCGAUCGCCUUUUUGUAGAGGGGGAAUAGAGGACCAGGGUGGUUGUGGAAAUGGACCCAAGUCGCUGAACUGAGAGAGGGAGAAAGAGAGGGAGAGAAACAUCAAUGUGUGAAGACAAAACGUCAAUCAGCUGCCUCUCACACACCUGCAACUGGGGACCUGGCCCGAAACCCAGGCAUGUGCCCUGGCUGGGAAUCGAAUCAGCAGCUUUUCAGUCCACAGGCCAGGGCUCAAUCCACUGAGCCACGUCAGCCAGGGCCACUGCUUUUUGUUCUUCCUGUUUUCUACUACGAUGAUGCUCAAGCCAUAUCCUUUAUGUGUGAAAGAUUUUUUUACCAUACUUUCUUCAAAUUUGCCAGAGCCCUUCACUGAAGUUGAACUUCAAGGAGAUGUGAGAUUAUGUGGUGGAGUAACUACAUCAAAAGGACCACAAGUAGACUUGGAGGAGUAAAACAGCUCUGCGGGGGAGAGUAAAACCCCUCUCUCUUCCAGCAACAAAUUCAGAGAAGAGCUGAGCCGGUCCCCAAUCUGCCUUCUGGGGGGGGCCCACCCCCCACUCCUCUGCUCACUUUGCAUUCACUGCUCCAGCUCAGGCGAGGGUGGGGGAGGGGAGUUGUUGCCAUUUCCUUAUUUGCCGACAUUCUUUUAUCAUAAUACACACAGCAGAGCAAAUAUUGCCUUGUAACAUGUUAGGCAUUAGCAGCCUUCAUGUGUUUUCUUAGAGGUUCUUCCUUUGUCUUAGAUGCAGGCAAGCUGGCCCCUGCACUGCUGACCACUGUAACACCAGGGAAGGUGGGCCCAUGGGUAGUUGGGUAGUGGGUUUCAGGAGGAUUUGGCUUUUUCGCUCAGCUACUUUACCUGAAAGGAGAGUUGAAGACAGUUAUAUAUGCUCCUUGGAGAUAAUCAACAGUGACUGGGUUUUGGGGAUCCACCCCUACCACCCCAAGUGGUGAGAGCAGUUGUUGACUCAUUGACUGACCGAACCCACAUCCCAAGACAUUUGGAAGAAGUACAACUUUUUCAAAGGUGCGGUAUGGAAAAAAUAGUGGAGGUGGGGGGU
This is a long non-coding RNA of Artibeus jamaicensis (Jamaican fruit-eating bat), 1651 nucleotides long. RefSeq lists it as uncharacterized. NCBI's taxonomy places the organism in Eukaryota, Metazoa, Chordata, Mammalia, Chiroptera, Phyllostomidae. The transcript has 4 exons. The record is from RefSeq and is a predicted model, not a curated record.